RNAcentral lists this ribosomal RNA (480 nucleotides) under uncultured bacterium. RNAcentral's name for it is "partial 16S ribosomal RNA". It matches the Rfam family "Bacterial small subunit ribosomal RNA", at positions 28 to 523 of the family's 1533-position model. The record is from RNAcentral.
GACGAACGCUGGCGGCGUGCUUAACACAUGCAAGUCGAACGGAAAGGCCCAGCUUGCUGGGUGCUCGAGUGGCGAACGGGUGAGUAACACGUGGGUGAUCUGCCCCUAACUUCGGGAUAAGCUUGGGAAACUGGGUCUAAUACCGGAUAGGACAAUCGUUUAGUGUCGGUUGUGGAAAGUUUUUUCGGUUAGGGAUGAGCCCGCGGCCUAUCAGCUUGUUGGUGGGGUAAUGGCCUACCAAGGCGUCGACGGGUAGCCGGCCUGAGAGGGUGGACGGCCACAUUGGGACUGAGAUACGGCCCAGACUCCUACGGGAGGCAGCAGUGGGGAAUAUUGCACAAUGGGCGCAGGCCUGAUGCAGUGACGCCGCGUGGGGGAUGACGGCCUUCGGGUUGUAAACCUCUUUCGACAGGGACGAAGCUUUGGUGACGGUACCUGUAUAAGAAGCACCGGCUAACUACGUGCCAGCCGCCGCAGUAA